GACGAACGCUGGCGGCGUGCUUAACACAUGCAAGUCGAACGGAAAGGCCCUGCUUUUGUGGGGUGCUCGAGUGGCGAACGGGUGAGUAACACGUGAGUAACCUGCCCUUGACUUUGGGAUAACUUCAGGAAACUGGGGCUAAUACCGGAUAGGAGCUCCUGCUGCAUGGUGGGGGUUGGAAAGUUUCGGCGGUUGGGGAUGGACUCGCGGCUUAUGAGCUUGUUGGUGGGGUAGUGGCUUACCAAGGCUUUGACGGGUAGCCGGCAUGAGAGGGUGACCGGCCACAUUGGGACUGAGAUACGGACCAGAAUCCUACGGGAGGCAGCAGUGGGGAAUAUUGCACAGUGGGCGGAAGCGUGAUGCAGAAACGCCGCGUGCGGGAUGACGGCCUUCUGGUUGUAAACCGCUUUCGCCUGUGACGAAGCGUGAGUGACGGUAAUGAGUAAAGAAGCACCGGCUAACUACGUG
Molecule: ribosomal RNA, 468 nt
Filed under: uncultured bacterium
Lineage: Bacteria
Description: partial 16S ribosomal RNA
Rfam family: Bacterial small subunit ribosomal RNA
Source: RNAcentral